RNAcentral lists this ribosomal RNA (466 nucleotides) under uncultured bacterium. Its description in RNAcentral is "partial 16S ribosomal RNA". It matches the Rfam family "Bacterial small subunit ribosomal RNA", at positions 28 to 507 of the family's 1533-position model. The record is from RNAcentral.
GAUGAACGCUGGCGGCGUGCUUAACACAUGCAAGUCGAACGAUGAAGCCCAGCUUGCUGGGUGGAUUAGUGGCGAACGGGCGAGUAACACGUGAGUAACCUGCCCUUAACUCUGGGAUAAGCCUGGGAAACUGGGUCUAAUACCGGAUAGGAGCGCCUACCCCAGGGUGGGUGUUGGAAAGAUUUAUCGGUUUUGGAUGGACUCGCGGCCUAUCAGCUUGUUGGUGAGGUAAUGGCUCACCAAGGCGACGACGGGUAGCCGGCCUGAGAGGGUGACCGGCCACACUGGGACUGAGACACGGCCCAGACUCCUACGGGAGGCAGCAGUGGGGAAUAUUGCACAAUGGGCGAAAGCCUGAUGCAGCGACGCCGCGUGAGGGAUGACGGCCUUCGGGUUGUAAACCUCUUUCAGUAGGGAAGAAGCGAAAGUGACGGUACCUGCAGAAGAAGCACCGGCUAACUACGUG